RNAcentral lists this ribosomal RNA (497 nucleotides) under uncultured bacterium. RNAcentral's name for it is "partial 16S ribosomal RNA". It matches the Rfam family "Bacterial small subunit ribosomal RNA", at positions 28 to 507 of the family's 1533-position model. The record is from RNAcentral.
GAUGAACGCUGGCGGCGUGCCUAAUACAUGCAAGUCGAGCGAACGGACGAGAAGCUUGCUUCUCUGAUGUUAGCGGCGGACGGGUGAGUAACACGUGGAUAACCUACCUAUAAGACUGGGAUAACUUCGGGAAACCGGAGAUAAUACCGGAUAAUAUUUUGAACCGCAUGGUUCAAAAGUGAAAGACGGUCUUGCUGUCACUUAUAGAUGGAUCCGCGCUGCAUUAGCUAGUUGGUAAGGUAACGGCUUACCAAGGCAACGAUGCAUAGCCGACCUGAGAGGGUGAUCGGCCACACUGUAACUGAGACACGGUCCAGACUCCUACGGGAGGCAGCAGUAGGGAAUCUUCCGCAAUGGGCGAAGGCCUGACGGAGCAACGCCGCGUGAGUGAUGAAGGUCUUCGGAUCGUAAAACUCUGUUAUUAGGGAAGAACAUAUGUGUAAGUAACUGUGCACAUCUUGACGGUACCUAAUCAGAAAGCCACGGCUAACUACGUG